CACCAUGGGAGUUGGUAACGCCCGAAGUCAGUGACCCAACCGUAAGGAGGGAGCUGCCGAAGGCGGGACUGAUAACUGGGGUGAAGUCGUAACAAGGUAGCCGUAUCGGAAGGUGCGGCUGGAUCACCUCCUUUCUAAGGAAGAAGAAGUAAGG
This 154-nucleotide ribosomal RNA is filed under the name Lacrimispora celerecrescens. RNAcentral describes it as "[Clostridium] celerecrescens partial 16S ribosomal RNA". The stretch from base 1 to 134 matches the Rfam family "Bacterial small subunit ribosomal RNA", at positions 1400 to 1533 of the family's 1533-position model. Lineage: Bacteria; Bacillati; Bacillota; Clostridia; Lachnospirales; Lachnospiraceae. The record is from RNAcentral.